GAUCAUGGUCUCAGGAUGAACGCUGGCGGCGUGCUUAACACAUGCAAGUCGAACGGGAAAUACUUUAUUGAAACUUUGGUGGAUUAAUUUAUUUCUAGUGGCGGACGGGUGAGUAACGCGUGGGUAACCUGCCUUAUACUGGGGGAUAACAGCCAGAAAUGACUGCUAAUACCGCAUAAGCGCACAGAACCGCAUGGUUCCGUGUGAAAAACUCCGGUGGUAUAAGAUGGACCCGCGUUGGAUUAGCUAGUUGG
RNAcentral lists this ribosomal RNA (254 nucleotides) under uncultured bacterium. RNAcentral's name for it is "partial 16S ribosomal RNA". It matches the Rfam family "Bacterial small subunit ribosomal RNA", at positions 15 to 252 of the family's 1533-position model. The record is from RNAcentral.